This is a non-coding RNA of Doryrhamphus excisus (bluestripe pipefish), 1939 nucleotides long. The record is from RefSeq and is a predicted model, not a curated record. Lineage: Eukaryota; Metazoa; Chordata; Actinopteri; Syngnathiformes; Syngnathidae.
UUGGUUUUGUGUUUAUUUGUUAGCAGAAUUAGAAAAAAAUGCUGUAUAUUUUGUUUCUUUCGGCUUUUCCUGGUUAUCUAUAUUUGUCUUGAGCCCUUUAAAUUCCGGAUGCCCUCCCUGACAAAUACCAAUGACGCUUACUAGUGGAGAUUAACAUACAAUAUUACUGGAUUGGUUUGUGAAACCCGUAUGUUAUUUUUCCAUAUACAAUGCUCAAGGGUUAAUGCCACUGUUUGCUAUACCAUUUCAGUGUUAUUAUACUCAUUAAUUUCACACACGUAUCAUUUAAAUUUACGACAGUUUUACGACAGUCGUGGCGUCAUGGCGGCCACUGGUGAGGGCUGCCAGGCUUGCAUAUGGUCAGGCCACGUGUGUACCACUGCAUGGAUUUCUGGCGUUUUUCUGCUAGUUGAACCUCUUUGGAGUGUCACUUUUAUUGGAUGAAGGCGUCACAGACAGUGAAGGUGAAGAAGGACCAGACUUCUGCAGGACAGGACAAAGUUGAAAAGAGCUGCCUGGUCAGGGCGGCGCUGAGUGCGGCUUUGACCUCACAGCUGGUAGACACUUUGGCAUAGUGUGCGACGUCGUGGCCUUGUGCGUCCACCGCACUUAGGAGCGCCCCGUGCUCAACCAGAACCUCGAUGACGGGCACCACAUUGGAUUCCGUGGCGAGCAUGAGAGCAGUCCUGCAACAUGGUCGCUGUUACACUACAUUUUUUGUUUUGUCCUUGUUGUGUCCUCAAUUAUGUUAGCUGUCUACCUGCCGCUGUUGUCAGAAAUGCUGAUUUCAGCACCGCUGUCCAGCAAAGCGCUGCACACCUCAGCGUAGCCACGUCUGGCUGCCAGAAGCAGAGGGGUGUGGCCAUCCUUUGGGGAAACAGCAGUAGUAGUAGUACCAUUAGAUAGCUACAGAAAUACUGCAUAACUCAUGUGGAGUGACAUCAGGACAAGGACUUAGACACGAAUGGUAUGUUCAGUGACUGUGUGGUGAGAGAAAUCCCAGACCCAUGUGAAAAAGCACAACACAACAGUUAGCAAAGCUGGGAGAGUGUACAGUUCUGUGGGAUUUAUUGCUAAGAGCCUGGCAGCUGCAUGAGUGUAUUUAUCUCCAGGAAUGGCAGAUCUUAACCCCAUGUGUGACCUUUAACCUUAGCCUUAUAUGUGCUAAAUGCACAACAAACCUCUUACUGUGAGCUGGGGGGAUGUUUGAAGGCCGUACGUUGAAACGUGCCAAAUAGUGAAACAGUGUGGUUGAUUCUUAAUGAUAAAGCUCAUCCUUGUUAUCUGAUGUGUAUUUAUUGAAAGACAUGUGAGAAUGCCCUGUGUGCACAUGCGGAUGAUGGUAGCUAGGAAUGUAAAUAACAUAGACAGACAAGCACUAAACGCCAUCCAAUCGGAUGAAACCACAACCGCGGUAAGCACCACUGCAACAGAGACCACAUGUCUGCGGCUUGAGAGUGCAGUUCUCACAGUACAUGGACCCCUCUAUAUAUUAGUACAUGUUAUAUAUAAGUGAUGCAAGCAUAUUAGUCAUCAUCACGGAAGCCCAUGCCUUUAUAUGAAACAUUUCUCAUAUACUUUCUGAGGUAUUUCAUUCCAUGCAAGACGGUACGUACUGUAUCUUUAAGGUUGAUGGGGCUUUUCAGUUCACACAGAAACUGGACAGUCUGGAUCUUCCCGCCGAGAGCUGCGUAUGAAAUAAAACUGGCAAUAAAUGAUCAGCAUUCCAAAGUUAUUGUGGAAGGAUUACACCAAUGACGUUCUCUUUUGUUUCCUUCAUCGAGCAGCCCAAAUUCAUUAAGAGAUGAUGCAAAAGCCGCAGCACUUUCAUGAAUCACUCCGUGCUGCACUUUAAAUCGCAUCUGAUGAACUGGAUAGUGACCGGGACACUUACCGGCGUGAUGCAAAGCGGUCCUCCCCGAGCCGUCAACCGCAUCAA